GACGAACGCUGGCGGCGUGCCUAAUACAUGCAAGUAGAACGCUGAAGGAGGAGCUUGCUUCUCUGGAUGAGUUGCGAACGGGUGAGUAACGCGUAGGUAACCUGCCUGGUAGCGGGGGAUAACUAUUGGAAACGAUAGCUAAUACCGCAUAAUAGUAGAUGUUGCAUGACAUUUGCUUAAAAGGUGCAAUUGCAUCGCUACCAGAUGGACCUGCGUUGUAUUAGCUAGUUGGUGGGGUAACGGCUCACCAAGGCGACGAUACAUAGCCGACCUGAGAGGGUGAUCGGCCACACUGGGACUGGGACACGGCCCAGACUCCUACGGGAGGCAGCAGUAGGGAAUCUUCGGCAAUGGACGGAAGUCUGACCGAGCAACGCCGCGUGAGUGAAGAAGGUUUUCGGAUCGUAAAGCUCUGUUGUAAGAGAAGAACGAGUGUGAGAGUGGAAAGUUCACACUGUGACGGUAUCUUACCAGAAAGGGACGGCUAACUACGUG
Molecule: ribosomal RNA, 495 nt
Filed under: uncultured bacterium
Lineage: Bacteria
Description: partial 16S ribosomal RNA
Rfam family: Bacterial small subunit ribosomal RNA
Source: RNAcentral